Molecule: ribosomal RNA, 468 nt
Filed under: uncultured bacterium
Lineage: Bacteria
Description: partial 16S ribosomal RNA
Rfam family: Bacterial small subunit ribosomal RNA
Source: RNAcentral
GACGAACGCUGGCGGCGUGCUUAACACAUGCAAGUCGAACGGAAAGGCCCUGCUUUUGUGGGGUGCUCGAGUGGCGAACGGGUGAGUAACACGUGAGUAACCUGCCCUUGACUUUGGGAUAACUUCAGGAAACUGGGGCUAAUACCGGAUAGGAGCUCCUGCUGCAUGGUGGGGGUUGGAAAGUUUGGGCGGGUGGGGAUGGACUCGCGGCUUAUCAGCUUGUUGGUGGGGUAGUGGCUUACCAAGGCUUUGACGGGUAGCCGGCCUGAGAGGGUGACCGGCCACAUUGGGACUGAGAUACGGCCCAGACUCCUACGGGAGGCAGCAGUGGGGAAUAUUGCACAAUGGGCGGAAGCCUGAUGCAGCAACGCCGCGUGCGGGAUGACGGCCUUCGGGUUGUAAACCGCUUUCGCCUGUGACGAAGCGUGAGUGACGGUAAUGGGUAAAGAAGCACCGGCUAACUACGUG